This 67-nucleotide transfer RNA is filed under the name Marmota marmota marmota (Alpine marmot). It matches the Rfam family "tRNA". Rfam says of the family: Transfer RNA (tRNA) molecules are approximately 80 nucleotides in length. Their secondary structure includes four short double-helical elements and three loops (D, anti-codon, and T loops). Further hydrogen bonds mediate the characteristic L-shaped molecular structure. tRNAs have two regions of fundamental functional importance: the anti-codon, which is responsible for specific mRNA codon recognition, and the 3' end, to which the tRNAs corresponding amino acid is attached (by aminoacyl-tRNA synthetases). tRNAs cope with the degeneracy of the genetic code in two manners: having more than one tRNA (with a specific anti-codon) for a particular amino acid; and 'wobble' base-pairing, i.e. permitting non-standard base-pairing at the 3rd anti-codon position. Lineage: Eukaryota; Metazoa; Chordata; Mammalia; Rodentia; Sciuridae. The record is from Rfam by way of RNAcentral. RNAcentral also lists the same sequence under 1 other name.
GGUUGUGGCUCAGUGGUAGAGUGCUUGCCUAGAAUGCAUGAGGCACUGGGUUCAAUCCCCAGAACCA